GCCACACUAAUUUAAUAAUAUAUUAAAAUAUUAUACAGUAUAUUGGGAGACAACAAAACAUUGUUUAUAUCUGACUGACUUGUACGGUUCUCCCAUGAUUUGAAAUCCCAAUGGGGGUAGGAAUCUGCAUACAAGCAAAGGGUUGGAAUCUAUAGACUAAAUAAUUGAUAUAUGCUACCAAAGUCCUUCCCUUCGUUGGCACUAGAAACAAGCUUUCGGUUUUGUCCCUUGUCAUGGCCACCACAAACCACA
RNAcentral lists this long non-coding RNA (252 nucleotides) under Prunus persica (peach). Its description in RNAcentral is "long non-coding RNA (PPER_LNC005410)". The record is from RNAcentral. Lineage: Eukaryota; Viridiplantae; Streptophyta; Magnoliopsida; Rosales; Rosaceae.